RNAcentral lists this transfer-messenger RNA (364 nucleotides) under Solirubrobacterales. RNAcentral describes it as "AC-56 sp005884305 Standard tmRNA". It matches the Rfam family "transfer-messenger RNA". From Rfam's summary of the family: Bacterial tmRNA, also known as 10Sa RNA or SsrA, is named for its dual tRNA and mRNA-like properties. Its role is to liberate the mRNA from a stalled ribosome. RNAcentral also lists the same sequence under 1 other name. Lineage: Bacteria; Bacillati; Actinomycetota; Thermoleophilia. The record is from RNAcentral.
GGGGCCGACAGGUAUCGACAUGGUGGUCUUCGUGCGAACGGUUGCAGGUCGAGGUUCCCGGAGGCCUCGUUAAACACCGGGAAAAUCAAUACGUGCGGACCAUGAGUUCGCCCUCGCUGCUUAGCUCAAACUAAGUAGGUGAGAGUCGGCCCUCCUUCGGCCCGUGAGGAGGGGCUCCGGCUUCAGAAACGGGCUCACCCGAAGCGGUCCGUUCCCGCCGCCAGGGGACAUUUCAGGGGACUGGUCUCCCGGAUUUCACCCGCCGGCGCGGGGCCCGGGAGACGAGAUCAAAGCGCCGGCUAAACCUGUAGAAGCCUUCGCUCGGACGCCGUGGACGCCGGUUCAAUUCCGGCCGGCUCCACUG